GAUGUGACCUGGGAGGACUCGCUGCAGGUCGGCCUGGAGGGAGCCCUCCUGGGAUGGUGCGUAGCUCCCGUAGUUCCGGCCCCGGGCCUGCCCUGAGCGGCAGCCGCGGUAAAUCGUGCGGGCAAAGCCGGGCUCCGGCACGGCCGGGAGCUCCUCCGGCUUGUGCGCGGGGACUCUGAGGGGCUUGGCAAACUCCCAAGUGACUUCUGUGCCUGUUUCACACUUGGAUGGAGAAACCUUUUGUAGGGAUGUAGUUUUCAAUUGAAAUCCAAGAGUUUUGCUGCUAUAACCUCUGUAGGUAGAGAGAAACAUUGGAGCAAAGCAGUAGAAGACAGCUUAACUUGUAGGUCCCUUUGUUCCCUUCCCUAAAAGGUUUCUUACUUAAAACAUCUCUGCGUUUUGUUUGGUUUGGUGGGGUUUUGGUUGGUUUGUUCUUGGGGAGAGGGGUGGCUGUUGGCUGGUUGGUUUUUCUUAAUACUGAAAAUAAAAAACUUGCGCUGCCUUAUUCUUGCAAGGUUUGGUAACUCAGUCUAACAGGAAGGAAGUGAAAUGUCAUCUAGGGGCUUACAGAACCAAUAGCUUGUUUAAAUGAUUUUUAAAGGCUAUUUUACAAACUGUCAGGACUGGGAACUUUUUCAAUAUAAGACUUGCUCUUUUUUUGACUUUUCCUUGCCCCUCCCUCUGCAUGGGGUAAGAAUCUAUUUUAUUAGAAAGAAUUUACAACUAGCACAUGCAUUGCUUUAUUACUUAAAUCAUGUUUGAGUAGAAUACUCUAAACCAUUCUGUCAUAGUAAGAUGUGCAUUUUCUUCCUUAAUAGCAACUUCACUUAUUAGAUAGAUUACUUCUUUCACAACAUGCCCAGUUUCUUAUGGUGAUAUUGGUUUUGUACAUAUUACUUUUUUGAGGAGGAGGUGUUAUUAUGCCUUGGAUUUUGCCCCAAGGGAACUGAAGAUUUGAUGUCCUCUGACAAAUAUGCAGCAUCUGUGGUUUCAAAAGCUUCUUUUUAAAAACAUUUCCCUUUCUCCUUUUAGUGCUUAUUAUUUAUUAUUCUGUCGGUCCUGUGGCUUGGCCGUGGGCUUCAUUCUUUAUUCUUCUGGCAGUGAGCUGGCACAUCUCCGGGACUUGUUCUGUUUCUUCAAGGACAGCAUCAUGUGUUACUUCUUAAAAAAUCAAAUUAUUAUAGAAGCUUCUAAGGUGAAUUUUCCAGCUGUGACCUUGAAGAAACACAUGCAGAAUGUAAGAAAAUACUUUUAAAAUGCUGAUAAUUUUGGACAUUAAUUCAAAACUAUUGACACAAAUGUGGGGGUUUUUAGUGCCUAAGAUUGAGAAGAUGCUGCCUUAUUUGACAAUAGCUGACUCAGUGCAUGAGACGUGAAACAUUUUCUAAGAACUCUGAAGUGCAGAACAUACCAAAUUCUAGCUAAAUUUUGGCAAAAGUUUGUUAUCUUUUUAUCUCUAUACCUUGCAAAGAAAAAAAACCCUAAAGUCAUUUAUGCAAACUUGGCCUAAGUAUUACGACUUGUGUUGUCAUUGUUGAAGAAUUUAAAAAUAGAUGGUUUUUUUGAAAGGGAUUUUUAAAGUCAUAUUUUUAUGUCUGUGUAAGAUCAAAACACCAUGGCAGUAUUUGUAGUUUCAGAGAGAAUUCUAGGACCUCCCUCCUGUUUUGGUGUUCAAAGUGGAUGUUCUUACCUGUAACCUGACUAGUGGUUAUGUUAGUUAAUUGCCUGCUUUAGCUCAAAUAAAGUUAUUGUGUGUUGGAGACA
Molecule: long non-coding RNA, 1764 nt
Organism: Zonotrichia albicollis (white-throated sparrow)
Lineage: Eukaryota; Metazoa; Chordata; Aves; Passeriformes; Passerellidae
Source: Ensembl